UAUAUAUGGAGCUGUCAACUCUCACAGUUAAAAGUAGAGCGAAAUACAGCUUCUAUUUUCUAGGGUUAUUUUAAAAAAAUUCAAUCCACUAAAAUUAUUUUACAAUUAAUAUAUUUAAGAGAUUAUUAUCUUACAUUAUCAUAUAAGAUACAUGAUUCUUUCACAGUCGUUGGAUGAAAAAUUAAUAAUUAUAAAAAUAUAAAAUUAUAUAUCAUCUUAUUUCCACAACCAUUGAAUGAAAAUCUAACGGUUAUGGAAGAAUCAUAUAUGUUAACAUCGUCAAACCAUAUAUUUAUACUUUCAAGCGGCCCCGAAAGCCAGGCAUCAACGAAAACGACAACAGUUUGAAUGAAAACGCGUUGCCACGUCAUCAACCCGUCCACAAAGUCCGGAUCAGACAAUUAAUUAACCAAAAAGACGUUGACCGAUUGAGCCCCACGUGGCACGUAGUCGGCACGUUCAUUAUUCAGUUCACACUAUUUUUCCUUAUUUACGUGACCUAUUCGGCGUCGUUUCCUGAUGGGAACCGUCUAAUUGUCUUUAUCAACUUUUUUAUUAAUUAAUUAAUUAAUCGAAAAAAAUCUUAAUUGUCUCACUAAUUCGCAGUUUCUUUUUUUGCCCUUUCUAAAAUUAAAGUUCGAGGAAACUCAUUAAGGAGAGCUACACAAUUGUCGUUUCACAUCAUGUAUUGGAUUGUCCUUUUGGUACUCACUUCGUCAUAAAAGACAUUUUUUUUUAAUAAUUAAAAGGAAAAAGAAAUAUCCAAUGCGUUGCAUUUACGUACGUGCAUAGGUAUGCUCGAUUGACAGAUCAAAGGGAUUCACGUGAGGUUAAAGUGAUGGGAAAGGCAAAUUGGACGACGAUUGAUGCUUAAAUUAAUUAAAUUAAAUAAUUAAUUAGAGCAAGUAAUGCGUAAUUAGAAUGUUAAAGUGCUUGAGAUUGGUUAAGUAGAGAACACAAUGUUAUGCUCUGAAUAUCCAUUAAUUAUUUAUUUAGGUAUUGUUAAAAUAAUAAUAAUAAUAAUAAUAAUGCAAAAGAAUUAUAGUCAAACCAUAAGAUUAACACAGAGUCAACUAUUGUGUAACGUAAGAUGAUGUUACGACUAUAAAUGGGUUAAUUUGUGUGUAAUUAUUUCUAACUUGUAAGGGAAAAUAUCAAUAUUUAAUACUAACUUGUAAGGGAAAAUAAUUAAGUUCAAUAAAACAAAUUUCAAACGGAAGUAACAAACUUGCAGUUUGAUCGGAUUUUUUUUUAACUUUGACCGUACAAAAACAAUUAUAUAAUAAUUUUGGGAGCCAGUCGUUAUCGUGGCAUAAAAGAUGUAACCACGUAUGCAUUCAGACUUGAAGGCAUAAGUCUGUAGUUGACUUCGAUAGAUGACUUCCAAAGCAUACUUCAUUAUUUCGGUUAUGCCAAGCUAGGAAUAUUAUUCUUUUUUUUUUUUCAAUUUGAUUGCCUCAUUAUCUCAUCACCUAUAUCAAUGCAAGGUAUAUGCAUUUUGAAAUACCCAUAUUGUUAAUUACAUUUUUUUCUUUAAUAUAUUUCUUUCUUU
RNAcentral lists this long non-coding RNA (1552 nucleotides) under Citrus x clementina. RNAcentral describes it as "Citrus clementina (C. clementina) long non-coding RNA (CCLE_LNC000156)". Lineage: Eukaryota; Viridiplantae; Streptophyta; Magnoliopsida; Sapindales; Rutaceae. The record is from RNAcentral.